GGGGGAUUAGCUCAGCUGGGAGAGCGCCGCCCUUGCAAGGCGGAGGUCGCCGGUUCGAUUCCGGUAUCCUCCA
Molecule: transfer RNA, 73 nt
Filed under: Actinomycetota bacterium
Lineage: Bacteria; Bacillati; Actinomycetota
Description: Actinobacteria bacterium tRNA-Ala
Rfam family: tRNA
About the family: Transfer RNA (tRNA) molecules are approximately 80 nucleotides in length. Their secondary structure includes four short double-helical elements and three loops (D, anti-codon, and T loops). Further hydrogen bonds mediate the characteristic L-shaped molecular structure. tRNAs have two regions of fundamental functional importance: the anti-codon, which is responsible for specific mRNA codon recognition, and the 3' end, to which the tRNAs corresponding amino acid is attached (by aminoacyl-tRNA synthetases). tRNAs cope with the degeneracy of the genetic code in two manners: having more than one tRNA (with a specific anti-codon) for a particular amino acid; and 'wobble' base-pairing, i.e. permitting non-standard base-pairing at the 3rd anti-codon position.
Source: RNAcentral